RNAcentral lists this transfer RNA (91 nucleotides) under Magnetococcales bacterium. RNAcentral's name for it is "tRNA-Ser". It matches the Rfam family "tRNA". From Rfam's summary of the family: Transfer RNA (tRNA) molecules are approximately 80 nucleotides in length. Lineage: Bacteria; Pseudomonadati; Pseudomonadota; Magnetococcia; Magnetococcales. The record is from RNAcentral.
GGAGAGAUGGCCGAGAGGUUGAAGGCGGCACCCUGCUAAGGUGUUAUAUCCGUUUAGGGUAUCGAGGGUUCGAAUCCCUCUCUCUCCGCCA